UACUGAAAUGAUGUUUUAUCACAUGUUAGACUACUGAUAUGAAAUGUUGACAUUUUUAUUACUGAUCAGUA
Hydra vulgaris (swiftwater hydra) is the source of this 71-nucleotide small nucleolar RNA. RefSeq annotates it as small nucleolar RNA SNORD2. The record is from RefSeq and is a predicted model, not a curated record. Lineage: Eukaryota; Metazoa; Cnidaria; Hydrozoa; Anthoathecata; Hydridae.